Molecule: transfer RNA, 73 nt
Filed under: Schistocephalus solidus
Lineage: Eukaryota; Metazoa; Platyhelminthes; Cestoda; Diphyllobothriidea; Diphyllobothriidae
Rfam family: tRNA
About the family: Transfer RNA (tRNA) molecules are approximately 80 nucleotides in length. Their secondary structure includes four short double-helical elements and three loops (D, anti-codon, and T loops).
Source: Rfam by way of RNAcentral
GAGCCAAUAACUCAAUGGUUAGAGUUUUGGACUUUUGAUCAACAAGUCGCGCGUUCGAGCCUCGUGUGGUGCA